ACCGAGCAAGUUUAAAUUGUACUCAGAUUUUUUUCUUGUUAUAUUUGCACAUAGUGUUUGGUAGCAACAUGGUAGUAGUUGUUCCUAUACUGUAUCACAUUGUUCAUGAUUCUUACUGGUAUAUCCUCCUACAUUUUUGCACCUUUCUAAAAAUUCUUUUGUUUGUCUAUAUUUGUAUGUAAUGUCUAGAUUCUAUGUUGAUAAUAUCUGAUGAAUGUUUAUGUGUGUUUUUGUCGCACGAAUUUUUCUUUUGCAGACCAGUAUCUUUUGCAGACCAGUAUCGUUUAAACAUCAGCUCAAAAAUGUAUGAUUUUGAUUUGAGUUUUUUUUUUUUUUUUUUAUUUGUUCUAAAAAUUGUAUGCAGUAGUGAUGUAUGAAUUUUUUUUGGCAGCUUCGCUUUCUCUUGUCCAUCGCUUUCUCCCCUUCACUCGUCUUU
RNAcentral lists this long non-coding RNA (436 nucleotides) under Aquilegia coerulea. Its description in RNAcentral is "long non-coding RNA (ACOE_LNC000162)". Lineage: Eukaryota; Viridiplantae; Streptophyta; Magnoliopsida; Ranunculales; Ranunculaceae. The record is from RNAcentral.